ACUUGAAAAUGUGGAAGUGGCUUUGAAUCAGAUAAUGGGCAGAGCUUGGAAGAGUCUGGAAGCCUCAGAAGAAGACAGGAAAAAAAGGGCCUCACUGCCUGAGAGCUUAUACAAUGUUUGAUCUACCAACAUGGUGCUCUGUAUCAUAUCACUUGAGACCUAAGGACCCACUUUAUGGUAAAGAAGGAAGACAGUGGGCACAUGACCACAGGACACAAUUGUCCUUUAACAUACCAUGCCACAUAGAAUAUCCUGCCCAAUAGAGUGAUGGAAUGGACUUUGAAGCUCAUCUCAGGUGCCAGCUUGAAGAUGAAACCCUUUGAGGAGAAGGCCCAGUACAUAUUAUAUACCAUAAGACAAAAACGUCCUAAUAAGAAGAUAAGGUGACCGAAUAAGGGGAUUACUUGGCAGAGAUAUGAGAGAACUGGGUUCUUGACCCCACUUUGCCAUGAACUUGGGCUUGUUGAAGAAAGUGGCCAUAUUGGUCAGCCUAUUGGGCAGGGAACUGCAGGUGGUACCCAGGAUCUGAGGAUGGCUUCCAGAUGACAGCAAGCAAAACCCAGGGCUCCCAGUCCUCUAACCACAACAGAAUGGAUUCUGCAAACAAUUCGAGUGAGUUUGGAAGCAGAUUCUUCCCCAGGGGAAAAUUCACCACUGAGCUCAAGCAUUGUAAGACAUCCUGUUCUAAGGAGGGAUGAGGACAAAUCCUCUACUGUUCCCAACAGUUGCACAGGGCACUGCAUCUACAGUUACCCUGAGAACUACAAGCAGGAGGUGAAAGAGCUGAGUCAGCCAAGGUCAUCUGGGGACCUAUCCACUGGCAGGUACAGGGACCACCUUUGAUGCAUAAACUGAGAGUCCCUGGAAGAGAUCCACAAGGUACACAAAGAUCACAAGGCAGACCAUCAAACUGAUUUUAAAAAACUGCACUGAAGCCAAGAUCCUGCACAUUAUCAUCAAGCAUGGCUCACAGAAAGAAGGAACAAUGACCACAUUCGCCAAAAGGGUAUCUCCAUAGACAAGCUCUGUGAACACAUCUGCCACCAAAACAUUCUACGUUGCUCUGAUUAGCCUCAAGAAAGUGGGACCUAAGUGGGGCAGAGGAGCCUUUCCCUGUGGCCACCACUGCCUUCAGCCCAUAAGGGAGUUUUUCCAGGCUACCUCCGAUGAUCACUUAAAGCUCAACAGCUCUUCAUUCAGCUUGUGGUCAUGUGCAAUCCUAAUACACUGACUCUGAGUCCAGUUCAGCACUAAGAGUUACCAAGAAUUUCAGUCCUUGUGUCCUAGACUGCCUUUCAAGUUUACUUGGAACCCCAAAGCACUUCAGCCUGCUGUGGUGAGGCGUGCUGAGAAACUGAAGUUCAAGCUACUGGGCUGGGUGAUUCUUUUCUGGCUAGGUGAGGUCCAAAUGCUCCCUCUUGCAUGGGGGCUGGCUGAGCCCAGCACGGCUUUGCUCUCUGCUGUGACAGGGCAGCACUGAAUUCAAUGUAAAGUCCUCCAGUUCUGUGCUCUCCCUCCCCAAGUGCACAGACUCUCUCCCAACAGCAUGGCUGCUGCCAGGGGAAAUAUUAAGAAUGGUGUAGGAGAUUCAAGACUGUCUGUCUUACUUUCUUCAGUGACAUGAAGUUAAAACCAGGUAGUCUCCUUUAGUGACAUGAAGUUCAAACCAGCUGGUCUAAUUGCUCACCUGAUUUUUGAUUCUUAUGAUGGUUCUUUUCUAUGUGCAGAUAGUUGUUAAAAUUUGGUGUUAUUGUCAGGAUGAAGAGUGUAGACUUCUAUUCCACAAUCUUGCUCUACCCACUUCCUGCCCCCAGUUGAGAUUCUUGCAUUUUUGGGUUAUAGUUGUAUUAAAUUUGAAAAAAAUGUAGUUAUUAUUACAUCAAAUAAUUUUGCUAUCCUGUCUUCACCCUUCAUGGGCUACAAGUUGAAGUAUAUUAGGUUGCUUGACAUUUUCCCAGAGCUCACUUGUGCUCUGUUCAUUGAAAAUUGUUUCUAAAAAUUGGAACCACUUAAAAUUCUAUCCAAACAAUUCUGUAAUCAAAGAGAAGAUUAAAAAACAAAUGGAAGGAUGUCAAGAAAAUAAUAAUAACUCAGUAUGUAUCAGUCUAUGGUCAGUACAAAUUUACUAAGAAGAAAAUAGAAUAAAAAUAAUGAGUU
RNAcentral lists this long non-coding RNA (2157 nucleotides) under Homo sapiens (human). RNAcentral describes it as "HSALNT0080139". The record is from RNAcentral. Lineage: Eukaryota; Metazoa; Chordata; Mammalia; Primates; Hominidae.